GAUGAACGCUGGCGGCGUGCCUAAUACAUGCAAGUCGAGCGAAUGGAUUAAGAGCUUGCUCUUAUGAAGUUAGCGGCGGACGGGUGAGUAACACGUGGGUAACCUGCCCAUAAGACUGGGAUAACUCCGGGAAACCGGGGCUAAUACCGGAUAACAUUUUGAACCGCAUGGUUCGAAAUUGAAAGGCGGCUGCGGCUGUCACUUAUGGAUGGACCCGCGUCGCAUUAGCUAGUUGGUGAGGUAACGGCUCACCAAGGCAACGAUGCGUAGCCGACCUGAGAGGGUGAUCGGCCACACUGGGACUGAGACACGGCCCAGACUCCUACGGGAGGCAGCAGUAGGGAAUCUUCCGCAAUGGACGAAAGUCUGACGGAGCAACGCCGCGUGAGUGAUGAGGGCUUUCGGGUCGUAAAGCUCUGUUGUUAGGGAAGAACAAGUGCUAGUUGAAUAAGCUGACACCUUGACGGUACCUAACCAGAAAGCCACGGCUAACUACGUGCCAGCAGCCGCCGUAA
This 515-nucleotide ribosomal RNA is filed under the name uncultured bacterium. Its description in RNAcentral is "partial 16S ribosomal RNA". It matches the Rfam family "Bacterial small subunit ribosomal RNA", at positions 28 to 523 of the family's 1533-position model. The record is from RNAcentral.